GUAGUCUGCAACCCGACUACAUGAAGCUGGAAUCGCUAGUAAUCGCGGAUCAGAAUGCCGCGGUGAGUACGUUCCCGGGUCUUGUACACACCGCCCGUCACACCAUGGAGUCGGAAAUGCCCGAAGUCUGUGACCCAACCUACGGGAGGGAGCAGCCGAAGGCAGGUCGGAUGACUGGGGUGAAGUCGUAACAAGGUAUC
Molecule: ribosomal RNA, 200 nt
Filed under: uncultured bacterium
Lineage: Bacteria
Description: partial 16S ribosomal RNA
Rfam family: Bacterial small subunit ribosomal RNA
Source: RNAcentral